This 661-nucleotide ribosomal RNA is filed under the name Brevundimonas sp. B374_2. RNAcentral's name for it is "bacterial SSU rRNA". It matches the Rfam family "Bacterial small subunit ribosomal RNA", at positions 107 to 803 of the family's 1533-position model. The record is from RNAcentral. Lineage: Bacteria; Pseudomonadati; Pseudomonadota; Alphaproteobacteria; Caulobacterales; Caulobacteraceae.
UGAGUAACACGUGGGAACGUGCCUUUUGGUUCGGAAUAGCUCCUGGAAACGGGUGGUAAUGCCGAAUGUGCCCUUCGGGGGAAAGAUUUAUCGCCAUUAGAGCGGCCCGCGUCUGAUUAGCUAGUUGGUGAGGUAAAGGCUCACCAAGGCUACGAUCAGUAGCUGGUCUGAGAGGAUGACCAGCCACAUUGGGACUGAGACACGGCCCAAACUCCUACGGGAGGCAGCAGUGGGGAAUCUUGCGCAAUGGGCGAAAGCCUGACGCAGCCAUGCCGCGUGAAUGAUGAAGGUCUUAGGAUUGUAAAAUUCUUUCACCGGGGACGAUAAUGACGGUACCCGGAGAAGAAGCCCCGGCUAACUUCGUGCCAGCAGCCGCGGUAAUACGAAGGGGGCUAGCGUUGCUCGGAAUUACUGGGCGUAAAGGGAGCGUAGGCGGACAUUUAAGUCAGGGGUGAAAUCCCAGAGCUCAACUCUGGAACUGCCUUUGAUACUGGAUGUCUUGAGUGUGAGAGAGGUAUGUGGAACUCCGAGUGUAGAGGUGAAAUUCGUAGAUAUUCGGAAGAACACCAGUGGCGAAGGCGACAUACUGGCUCAUUACUGACGCUGAGGCUCGAAAGCGUGGGGAGCAAACAGGAUUAGAUACCCUGGUAGUCCACGCCGU